RNAcentral lists this unclassified non-coding RNA (120 nucleotides) under Epilithonimonas lactis. RNAcentral's name for it is "Chryseobacterium halperniae Flavo-1 RNA". Lineage: Bacteria; Pseudomonadati; Bacteroidota; Flavobacteriia; Flavobacteriales; Weeksellaceae. The record is from RNAcentral.
AGCGCGCCCCGGCUUGAGUGGAGCUCUUUUUCUGGCAUUGCGAUGUGGAAAUGUUCAAACGGAUGACCUCACGUCGUAAGCAAUGACAGAAAAAAGCGGGAACGGAAGACGGAAAUAGGC